Long non-coding RNA from Salvelinus namaycush (lake trout), 301 nucleotides. RefSeq lists it as uncharacterized. Lineage: Eukaryota; Metazoa; Chordata; Actinopteri; Salmoniformes; Salmonidae. The transcript has 3 exons. The record is from RefSeq and is a predicted model, not a curated record.
GUCGAAGCUCUCGAGUCCAGAAAGAGGCCUGAGUUCCCGAGUUUGAAUUCGGAGUUGGAUGACCGUUCAAAUAUAAUUUUUCGCGAGUUCCCAGUUUUUGAACAAGGUUGUAUGCUCAUUGAAGGAGUAUAACACAUACAAACAGUACCUGGAUACGGUCAAGACAAACCAUGACAAAACCUACAGCAAGAAGAUGAAGGAACAGAUGCUGAGAAUGGUUCAGUUACAUUACAUUUAAGUCAUUUAGCAGACGCUCUUAUCCAGAGCGACUUACAAAUUGGAAAGUUCAUACAUAUUCAUC